GUGACAUUCUAUAGCCCCACAGGGUGAUGUUGUUCAGGGCUCUGCAGAAGGACAGACAGGGGAGUUGCAGGUGUGGCGGCUGUGUCAUAUGUGUGUCAGUAGGUGGCAGAGAGGACAGAAGCUGCAGCUGUGCUCAGUGUUCUGACCUGUGAACAUCUGAAUGAUUAGUGACCUACCAUUCCCUGAAUGAAGCAAGCCUGAGACGACCACCAGUCCGAAGCUACGGGGCCUGAAUAGGGAGCUAGCCUGAGAUGGCCACCAGUGCCUCGCAGGUCUGGGGCUGAGAAUAGACCAUGCUCAAGAUGAAUCCUGCCCAGUGUCAUAAUGCACGGGUGGGGCAUAGCACUCCUGAGACCACUCCUGAGUUGACCCCAGAUACUCAGAGACCCUGGAGAACCACUAAGUGAAGCACUUAAAUGGUGAAGAAAUGGAAGAGAACGAGACACAGAAGGAUGUGGGCACAAUGAAGAGAGGCAGAACUGGACACUUGAGGGUGUUGAGAAACAUCCUGAUGUAAGCAGCCGGUGAUGCCACCUGAGAACAUGGUGAGAAGUCCUCCCCUGUACUGCCA
Molecule: long non-coding RNA, 571 nt
Organism: Mastomys coucha (southern multimammate mouse)
Lineage: Eukaryota; Metazoa; Chordata; Mammalia; Rodentia; Muridae
Exons: 2
Source: RefSeq, a predicted model, not a curated record